UCUUACGAAGAUCCGAGUCGAAGAGAUUUGUACGGAAACGGUGGCAUUUGGACUGAGCUUGCGAGACGCGACGCUGUGAAUUCUUCUUUUAGCCGGCGAAUUCGUUUCGAGCUUCUUCUGGCGGGAACAGCUAGGCAAUCGAAAGAACGAAAGGGAAGAUGUCCCUCGCUUCAUCGACGUUUGCACUCGAUGUCCAUCGCACAAACUCCUAUAAAACCGAGAAAGACCAAAGACCAAAGGGAUCCAGGUCCUUACGUUGCACAUGACCGGCGGCGUAAGACGGUCGUUCGUCGUUUAAAGCGGCGGCGAGGUAAAUGUCCCGCGUUUGUCAGCGGUGAGCCUGAAAAUACCAAGCACCGUUCGCCGUGGGCUAGUCGAAGGCUGGCAAGGGAGGACGUAUACCGCAGAAGGAGAACCGUGGCAAGUCGCGAGGACAGAGACGGAGCUCAGCCGCUGCAGAUUACUUAGUCUGUUUCUAGGUGUACGGAUGGCUGUUGGUGUUCUCGGGUGUGAAAUGGAACGAACGCACCGACCAGAUUCCGUUGAUCAUGAAUCGCAGAAAUGUUUUUGGUAGAGAAUGGACGAAAUUGUCGGUGUUUCGUGGGAAAGCGAAGACGAAAGAAGCUUUGAAACGGUGUUGGAUGUAAGGAUAUGUUGCGUGAGAGAGAAAGAGAUACCGAGAGUGCAUAUCGUGUAUUGUUGUGCUACGUUAAUGAACUUUAUUAUAAAAUUAUUAAA
Bombus pyrosoma is the source of this 738-nucleotide long non-coding RNA. RefSeq lists it as uncharacterized. The transcript has 3 exons. The record is from RefSeq and is a predicted model, not a curated record. Lineage: Eukaryota; Metazoa; Arthropoda; Insecta; Hymenoptera; Apidae.